UGCCACAGGUAGGAUGGCCGAAGUAGGUGGUGGGUUGUAGCCCCAAAGAUAGAGGUUAGAGUCCUCUUCCUAUCA
RNAcentral lists this transfer RNA (75 nucleotides) under Homatula berezowskii. RNAcentral describes it as "tRNA-Tyr". It matches the Rfam family "tRNA". Rfam says of the family: Transfer RNA (tRNA) molecules are approximately 80 nucleotides in length. Their secondary structure includes four short double-helical elements and three loops (D, anti-codon, and T loops). Lineage: Eukaryota; Metazoa; Chordata; Actinopteri; Cypriniformes; Nemacheilidae. The record is from RNAcentral.